ACAAUGGAGAGUUUGAUCCUGGCUCAGGAUGAACGCUAGCUACAGGCUUAACACAUGCAAGUCGAGGGGAAACGACAUCGAAAGCUUGCUUUCGAUGGGCGUCGACCGGCGCACGGGUGAGUAACGCGUAUCCAACCUGCCCACCACUUGGGGAUAACCUUGCGAAAGUAAGACUAAUACCCAAUGAUAUCUCU
This 194-nucleotide ribosomal RNA is filed under the name Escherichia coli. Its description in RNAcentral is "partial 16S ribosomal RNA". It matches the Rfam family "Bacterial small subunit ribosomal RNA", at positions 1 to 183 of the family's 1533-position model. The record is from RNAcentral. Lineage: Bacteria; Pseudomonadati; Pseudomonadota; Gammaproteobacteria; Enterobacterales; Enterobacteriaceae.